RNAcentral lists this transfer RNA (71 nucleotides) under Loxodonta africana (African savanna elephant). It matches the Rfam family "tRNA". Rfam says of the family: Transfer RNA (tRNA) molecules are approximately 80 nucleotides in length. The record is from Rfam by way of RNAcentral. Lineage: Eukaryota; Metazoa; Chordata; Mammalia; Proboscidea; Elephantidae.
GCAGUGGUCGUUCAAUGGUAGAACUCUCAUCUUCUACCCAGGAGACCCGGGUCCAAUUCCCAGUCAGUGCA